Molecule: long non-coding RNA, 559 nt
Organism: Cyprinus carpio carpio
Lineage: Eukaryota; Metazoa; Chordata; Actinopteri; Cypriniformes; Cyprinidae
Source: Ensembl
UGUCACACAGAAAAGUCUCUCAUAUAUUUGGCAUAAAGAUCACUGCUGCUCUUCUUGAGAACCAUGAAAUCUUUCCUGAUCAUUGCUUGUAUCUUUGGACUCUGCUUUGCCGUGCUAGCAGAGGAUGGAGAACUUCGAGAGAAGCGCUCAUCAAGCCGUUCCUCAGAGAGACAUCCUGGAGGCUUCUUCAACCCAAACCCAUUUCAGCGUCCCUAUCCCUAUCCGUACUUCCCCCCUUACCAGCCUCGGCCUCAACCUCAGCCUCUGCCUCCAAACAACAAUGCUCUCCUCAGCCUCUUGCCAUUCAUCUUAGCACAGCUGGCAUCCAAACCUGCUCCUGCACCGGCCCCUGCACCGGCACCUGCACCGGCCCCUGCACCGGCCCCUGCACCGGCCCCGGCCCCAGCCCCUGCACCAGCCCCAGCUCCUGCUCCUGCCCCUGGUGGGCGAUAAGACACCAGUUAAAACUGAGCAUGUGUCUCCUUGACUUAAAUAAACUUAGUAUCAUUGAAUCAUACAUUUGUGUUUGUGUGAUUCUUUCUAAAUGUAAGUUCUUAAA